CCCUGCCAUUUGUACACACCGCCCGUCGCUACUACCGAUUGAAUGGCUCAGUGAGGCCUUCGGACUGGCUUGAGGAGGUUGGCAACGACCACCUUGAGCCGGAAAGUUCGUCAAACUCGGUCAUUUAGAGGAAG
RNAcentral lists this ribosomal RNA (134 nucleotides) under uncultured eukaryote. RNAcentral describes it as "partial small subunit ribosomal RNA". It matches the Rfam family "Eukaryotic small subunit ribosomal RNA", at positions 1651 to 1782 of the family's 1831-position model. The record is from RNAcentral.